CUGGUGUCCGUGUAGUAUCACCACCUGAGCCUUCCCUAUCAGAUCCUGAGCCAUACCAUCAAAAUGACUCAAGUCCUUCAGCCUCUGUUUCACUUGGGAGACACUGUCUCCAGUGUCAGGCAGUUUUGCUUGUUGACCCAUUAAAAAUUCAAUGGCAUUCUUGACCUCUUGAAAACUCUGCUCAAACUUCCACAGUUGUAAAUACUGCUCCAUUUUCAACUGAUGCUUUUCCCAGAAGCCAUCAAAAGCAGUCUCCAUCUCCCGCA
This 266-nucleotide long non-coding RNA is filed under the name Gallus gallus (chicken). The record is from RNAcentral. Lineage: Eukaryota; Metazoa; Chordata; Aves; Galliformes; Phasianidae.